This is a long non-coding RNA of Melospiza melodia melodia, 1375 nucleotides long. RefSeq lists it as uncharacterized. NCBI's taxonomy places the organism in Eukaryota, Metazoa, Chordata, Aves, Passeriformes, Passerellidae. The record is from RefSeq and is a predicted model, not a curated record. The transcript is spliced from 3 exons.
AUGGUGCCGGGAAAAUGGGAAAAUAAUCCUGCCCUUCUCACCCCUCAGAUUACUAAUUCCUCACGGCACCGAACCGGCUCAGCACCACGGCUGCCAAGCAGCUCUGCUAGAGCAGCGAGGCAGCAGCAAUCCUGAGAGAAAGGCGGCAUGUCCUGCUAGGAGGAGCCUGUGGCCGCCAUCCAGCGCUGCCCUGAUCGCGGCAGAGCCGUGGCUUGGCCGAGCCGUGCCGGGAGAGCCAUUUCGGAGCCCUUUCAUCCCCUUCUCCAGCCCUCUGCCUCCUCCGGAGCCCAGUGCACUGCACCAAGGUGCUGACAGAGAGUUGGGCGCCCAGCACAUCUCUGCUGCAUCAGUGCUGAAGCUGCUUUUCCAGGACCGAAGCUGCUUUUCCAGCCCAGAUGCCAAAAUAGAAAGGCUGUUGCAGAAACUGAGAGACCGGAUGCUCCACUUCUGCGCCAGGCAGUGGGAAAGGCAAGCAGGCAGCAGCCCAAGUUGCCAGGGGUGACUAUGGAGCUGACAAGGCCAGGAUCCAGCAAAACCCGCCCUGACCGAUGACUUCUGGGUUCCUGCUGACCUUUGAUCCCUUCUGGUUUGGUCGGGAACAAAAGAGCCUGUUCACCAGGGCCCCUCACAGGUAUAUUUAACGAAAGCAGCCAUUGCCUAUAUGCUGAUUAAUGUGUUUGCCUUACAUGUGGCAGGAGGAGGACCACGGCCACCCCAUGCUGCUGUGCAGGUAAGCGCCAGCUUACCUAGCUUGUAUGUCACACAAAAUAAAUCGAGGAAUCCACCAUGAGGCACAUAAAAACGACUACAGCAGGCAAAGACAAUUUUUGUCACUGAUGCAAGAAGUUGCUGAGACUGGUGAUGAUGCCAUGAGCACUAUCCCUGUGGACCCAAAAAUCUGUGGAGAGUUUCUGUCAUUAGAGAUUUGAUGCUGCUCUGACACCAAGGGCCAUCAGCAGCUCAAACAUGCUGUUGCAAAGAUGCUGUCGGCUACAGCAACCAUGGAGGAUUCUGUCCAACCCUCAGCAGCCACUUUCAUUACCGCAUAUUGUCACCAUAGCAAUGAAGCUGAAUGCGGGCAAAUGACAAGGGUCUGUCAUCACUCAGCCCUGGCCUGACAGCCCUCAGCACCAGUCGCUCUCAUCCAGCCUCAAUACACAAAUAGGUCCUCAACAGGCCCAAAAGUAAUAAUCUGCCCCUCCACAAAGUCAUCGUUUCACUGGCACUCUCAGUAGCAGUGUGCAGCCCUUAUACCCCCUGAAGAUGGUUCUGCUUUAUUCCACAGUGAGUUUUCAUGCUUUAGGGAAAAGUUGGAAAAGAGAGAGGCAGUGGUACCCAAACAUCAAAUAUCAGAGAUAGCCAAGGGAAAAAGAAA